RNAcentral lists this ribosomal RNA (415 nucleotides) under uncultured prokaryote. Its description in RNAcentral is "bacterial SSU rRNA". It matches the Rfam family "Bacterial small subunit ribosomal RNA", at positions 505 to 918 of the family's 1533-position model. The record is from RNAcentral.
GUGUCAGCAGCCGCGGUAAUACGGGGAAGGCAAGUGUUGCUCGGAUUUACUGGGCGUAAAGCGCGUGCAGGCGGCUUGGUAAGUCGGACGUGAAAGCUCCCGGCUCAACUGGGAGAGGCCGUUCGAAACUACCAGGCUAGAGGACAGUAGAGGGAGGUGGAAUUCCGGGUGUAGCGGUGAAAUGCGUAGAUAUCCGGAGGAACACCAGUGGCGAAGGCGGCCUCCUGGACUGCUCCUGACGCUCAGACGCGAAAGCUAGGGGAGCGAACGGGAUUAGACACCCCGGUAGUCCUAGCUGUAAACGAUGCAGACUUGGUGUUGGUCGUUUAAAAACGAUCAGUGCCGAAGCUAACGCGAUAAGUCUGCCGCCUGGGGACUACGGCCGCAAGGCUAAAACUUAAAGGAAUUGGCGGGG